GAUGAACGCUGGCGGCGUGCCUAAUACAUGCAAGUCGAACGAACCGACCAGGAACUUGCUCCCCCGACGUUAGCGUCGGACGGGUGAGUCCCUCAUGGAUACCCUACCUAUAAGACUGGGAUAACUUCGGGAGACCGGAUCUAAUACCGGAUAAUUUAUUGACCCUCAUGGUUCAAUAGUUAAAGACGGUUUUUCUUUCACUUAUAGAUAGAUCCGCCCCGCAUUAGCUAGUUGGGAAGGUAACGGCUUACCCACGCAACGAUGCGUAACCGACCUGAGAGGGUGAACGGCCACACGGGAACUGAGAAACGGUCCAGACUCUUACAGGAGGCAGCAGUAGGGAAUCUUACGGAAGGGGCGAAAGCCUGACGGAGCAACGCCGCGGGAGUGAUGAAGGACUUCGGAUCGUAGAACUCUGUUAGUAGGGAAGAACAAAUGUGUAAGUAACUAGGCACGUCUUGACGGUACCUAAUCAGAAAGCCACGGCUAACUACGUG
Molecule: ribosomal RNA, 497 nt
Filed under: uncultured bacterium
Lineage: Bacteria
Description: partial 16S ribosomal RNA
Rfam family: Bacterial small subunit ribosomal RNA
Source: RNAcentral